AUCAUAACAUAAAAGCAUUAGAAAAUGAUAUGAAAAUUUAAAACAUUUCCAACACAAUCAAAGUAUUUUAUAAAUCGAGCGGAAGUCUAACAUAAUUGUCUCAAACCAUCUAACAUAAGAGAUAAAAGAUCUUGGGACGCAGCCCAUACAAUAGUCCAACAUAAAAAGGAAGACAUAAAAGAGAUAAAGGGGUGGUCCAAUCCUCGAAUACAAUGAGGACUCACCAAAGCUUCACUUCCUUGAUCAACUAUGAACCUAGCUACAAGUGUGUGAAUCGAGAGCGCCGAACCCUACAUUUGAUAAGAAUGUAGGAAAGAGUAUGUGUUAGUACAAAGAUGUACUAAAUAUGAUAUAAACAACAUAAACAUAAGCAUUAGUCAACAUAUGACAUAAGGCAUAAACAUAAUCAAGACAUAAUAAGCAUCAUAAUGAGAGAGAAAUACUUCCUUAAGUCAAGACUUGGGUCAUCCACCUCUAGUCAAGCUUACAUCAUGGAAGGCAUAUCUAGCAACACUCCAAGUCAAACAUAUUUAUAACAUAAUCAUAUCGUUCAUACUUACUUUUAAAGACAUGGGGAUUCGCCUCUAUGCCUAACUUAUAAAGGCUAAUGGAUAUUCGCCUCUUGCCUUAAUUACUUUAAGAUCAUGGGUACUCGCCUCCACAAUCACAUCACAUGACACGGGUAAUCGCCUCCACAUCAUUUCAUAAGGAUCAUGGGUACUCGCCUCCAUGUCCAUUCAUAAUAGUAAGAACGUGGGGAAUCACCUCUUGUUCAAUUCUAAGGAGUAUGGGAAGUCACCACAUAUCCUUCUAUAUAGAGGUCAAGGGUAGUCGCCUUUAGCCUCAUCAUUCAUUUAGUCAUUUUAGUCUAGAUUCAUUUUAGGUGUGCAAUCCUUUCAACCUAGAAUCAUUUAUGUGAGUAAACCUUUUCACAAUCAUUCAAUCAUGCUUAGCAAUUCAUUGUGGGAAGUAUCUCUUCCACACCAUAACAUCAACAAUCAACAAUUCAUACUCUAGGCUUUACUCUCAAAGCACUACAUCUCAUGAUCAUCAUCUAUGCUUUAAUCUCAAGAAAUUAACAUUAUAAUUCAUCAAUCCUAUAACGAGAUAUCUAAACCCACAAAGUUUCCCUUCAUGGCAUCAACCCAAUUACAUCAAUUCUAGGUCAAAUCAUGGAAUAGGCAUGGGUACAUGUAAUUUCAUCUUAAAAACAUGUAAUUCUAUCAAUUCAAUCAUAAACAAUCAUAAUCCACUCAAUUGGAUCGACAUUCAUCAUAACCCACAAUAUUGGAAGAAAUCCUAACUAGAAUUGGGGACUUAGACUUCACAAUUGGGGAAUCUAGGGGACUCCAUGGGAGAAAGGAUCCCAUGGAUGAAAAGUCAUCAUACCUUAGUCACAAAGCCUACCAAAAGCUUAAAGACUGCAGACUUGAACUUGACCUAGCUUCCUCCUCGUCCUUCUUCUUCUUCCUUCUAGAGAGAGAAUAUUUGAGAGAGAGUUUUGAGUUUUCUUUUGGAAAUUGAGAGAAUGACUUAAUUGAGUGAAUAUAGGGGUCUAAAGUACUU
This 1566-nucleotide long non-coding RNA is filed under the name Solanum tuberosum (potato). RNAcentral's name for it is "long non-coding RNA (STUB_LNC005900)". The record is from RNAcentral. Lineage: Eukaryota; Viridiplantae; Streptophyta; Magnoliopsida; Solanales; Solanaceae.